CACCCCCUCCUACAGCUACUGCGCAUGUGCAAGUGGCGCGCCGUGGGCUUGGCGCAGGCGCAGGCGCAGACGUGGCUCCACAUAAAUUUUUCCUUGGGCUGGUUUCCUGCAUGUCUUUUAAGUAUUUGCUUUUAGUUUCCGUGUUUUGGUGUUUUGUUUGUUCGUUUUUUUUUUUUUUUUGUUUUUACGACAAUGCCUUCUAGGGGAACAGUGUCGCUGGGCUGGGCGGUGGAGAGACACCUUUGGCACCAUCGUGCGAUCUCAUGCACCCUACCAGUGAUCAACCCUUUGAGUCUGGCUUAGCUCAGGCAGAAAUUGUAGUCUGCAAAAGAAACUGAGAAGAAGAGGGCAAGGAGAGUGUGGCAUCCCAAGACAUAAAGACUCAAAUCAAUGAGAGCAAGCAACUCUGUCAAAUUUCACCAGAAGUGAGGACUAAAUAUUGACUACCGAAUUUUGCAAGGUCCUUGUAAUAAAUGAUGAGAUGGAUUGACAACUGGAAUUAUCCCUAUUAUGGGUUGAAUGAUGCACUCCCAAAAGCUAUACUGAAGUCCUAAUCCUCAAUAUCUCAGAAUGAGAAGUUACUUGGAAAUAGAGUGGUUGCAGAUGUAAUUAGUCAAGAUGAGGUUACACUGGAGUAAGGUGAACCCUUAAUUCAAUAUGAGUGGCGCCCUUUUAAGAAGAGGACACAGAGACACACAGGAGAAUGCCAUGUGAUGACAGACAGAGCUUGGCAUGAUGCAGCUACAAGCCAAGGAACACGAAGGGUUGACAGCCAACACUAAAAGCUAGGAAGAGGCAAGGAAGGAUUCUUCUCUACAGAUUUUAGAGGGAGCAUGGCCCUCUUGACACUUUUGUAUUGGACUUCCAUCUUCUAAAACUGAAAGAAUGAAUUUCUAUCGUUUUAAGCCACCUAGUUGGUAGUAUAUUGUUCUGGAUGCCUCAGAAAACUAAUAAAAUCCCCUAUUUCUGGUCAGUAUGCUGAGGUUUGAAAAAGUUUAAUUGGCAAAUGUUAAUUGCCAAGAGCCUACUAUGUGCUGGGUGGUCUUCUAGGCCUUGGGUAUUCAGUUCUAAACCAAACAAAGUUAAAAUUGUACUCCGGGGCACAUGGCUUUUUAGAGACAAGUAAUAUGAAACCCCAGUCUCUAGGCUUCCAGAUCAGCAUUUCAGUUUUGGUUUAUUUCAAUUAUGUCCUCUCUAAGUAAGGAGUGACUCUAAUAUUGACAGUGCUUAUACUGACCAUGAAUGUGCCUGAGUCACAGACAUCUCAGUGAACUCCUUACUAAUGAACUUAUAUUUCCCCACAGAUACCUUACAUGUAUCAUUACAGCCUUUCUAGGCCUAAGAAUGGACACCCUUUCUCUUUUCCUUGACCCAGAAUUUGGGUUACAAAUAAUCCAAUGGGAGAGCAGCUAUUGAUGAUGGGGCAUUUCGGAACAGAGGGAGGAAAAGGGGAAUUCCAGAUUGCUACAAGAUUUCUAAUUGUGGGAUGGGUAUUUAAAGCCCUGUGAAAGGUUGGAAGUCACUGGCUAAGGAACUUCUGCAGAAUAGUCUCUUUGGAGCACCUGAACUUACUCUUCCAGGUAUGGGGAAGAACAGAUAAGGGCAGAGUGUGACCUGACUGCACCCCUCCACUACCCUGUCCCCUGAAAAACUACAGAGAUCAAAAUUUGGCCCCUCAGUUCCCUGGCGAUAAGGGCUAAAGGACUUGGUUCUUUCAUCACUUAAGGUAAAGAAAAAGUAAAAUAAGUGUGUACAGGAACCCUACUCCAUAAAUAAAACCAUCUAUAACAAUAGCCUUGAAAGACUUAUUUCAAGACCUUCUCCCUCCCUCCCACCUUGACAUUUUAAUGGGGCCGGCAGUUUGAGCUUCAUUGUAAUGGAAACCAGAAGACAAUCUUCAAAAGUGAAAGGCUACAAUGGAGGUCCCAGCAGCCUUUGUGUCUGAAUUUAUCAGCUUUGUCCUCAGCAAAUGGCAAUGUUGCCUGACAGGCAAUUACUGCUGUUCCUAAUUGUUUCCAUCAAACUCGGCUGUUUGAAAUACCUAGCGCCCCAUACCAAGCCAUGUUUCAGCCAACACUGUUUUCUUGGCUUUGAUUAAUGCUUUAUUUUUGGCACGCUGGUUUCUCUCUGGCAAUUGAGUCGUUCAGAGCUGUUAAACUUUCCAAAGACCCUCUCUGAUCAAAGCCAGAAGACAAUCUAAUUAGGUCCUGUCUUAAGUGGAAGAUUAGCAAAGCAGAGUGUCUCCUGUGCAGCUUGUCAGUACUUGGGGAGAAGAUGAAAGCUCUACUUAGAACUCUGCUCAUAGAUAUACAGUCCACAAUAGAGCUGCUUGACAGUGGCAUUUUCUUGAGUGCAUGUAGAAAUGGGUAUUCGUGUGGGGAACUCUGAGUCCCAUGAGAAAAGAUAAAUGGUCUUAUAUUUUAAAGUAUGUAAGUUUUGAUAGCUUGCUAUAGGAAGCAUAAUUUUUUUUCUUGACCUGAAAGGUUUCCAAUGUGAUUAAAUUAGAACUCUUAUUUCCCUCUACCCCACUUCAGUAGAGUUCACAACCAUCUUCUGUUACCAAUAUAUCUUAGUUCCCACCAGCUUGCACUUGGACUAGGAUCAUAGCUUUCUAACUGUUCUCACUGCUUCCUCCCUUGGCUCUCUCCAAUUCAUUCCCCGCAAGGCGGAGGAAUGUACUUUAAAAAAAUGUAUAUCCCAGAAAGAGCUACCUACUAUAUGGUCCUGUGUAUACGACAUUAUAGAAAAGGCCAAACUAGAAGGAAACAAUGUUUUCCAGGACUUUGGUCU
This is a long non-coding RNA of Homo sapiens (human), 2790 nucleotides long. RefSeq annotates it as SPDL1 divergent transcript. The transcript is spliced from 3 exons. Lineage: Eukaryota; Metazoa; Chordata; Mammalia; Primates; Hominidae. The record is from RefSeq and is a predicted model, not a curated record.